GACGAACGCUGGCGGCGUGCCUAAUACAUGCAAGUAGAACGCUGAAGAGAGGAGCUUGCUCUUCUUGGAUGAGUUGCGAACGGGUGAGUAAAGCGUAGGUAACCUGCCUUGUAGCGGGGGAUAACUAUUGGAAACGAUAGCUAAUACCGCAUAACAAUGGAUGACACAUGUCAUUUAUUUGAAAGGGGCAAUUGCUCCACUACAAGAUGGACCUGCGUUGUAUUAGCUAGUAGGUGAGGUAAUGGCUCACCUAGGCGACGAAACGUAGCCGACCUGCGAGGGUGAUCGGCCACACUGGGACUGAGACGCGGCCCAGACUCCUACGGGAGGCAGCAGUAGGGAAUCUUCGGCAAUGGGGGCAACCCUGACCGAGCAACGCCGCGUGAGUGAAGAAGGUUUUCGGAUCGUAAAGCUCUGUUGUAAGUCAAGAACGGGUGUGAGAGUGGAAAGUUCACACUGUGACGGUAGCUUACCAGAAAGGGACGGCUAACUACGUG
This 497-nucleotide ribosomal RNA is filed under the name uncultured bacterium. Its description in RNAcentral is "partial 16S ribosomal RNA". It matches the Rfam family "Bacterial small subunit ribosomal RNA", at positions 28 to 507 of the family's 1533-position model. The record is from RNAcentral.